GACGAACGCUGGCGGCGUGCUUAACACAUGCAAGUCGAACGGAAAGGCCCUGCUUUUGUGGGGUGCUCGAGUGGCGAACGGGUGAGUAACACGUGAGUAACCUGCCCUUGUUUUUGGGAUAACUUCAGGAAACUGGGGCUAAUACCGGAUAGGAGCUCCUGCUGCAUGGUGGGGGUUGGAAAGUUUCGGCGGUUGUGGAUGGACUCGCGGCUUAUCAGCUUGUUGGUUGGGUAGUGGCUUACCAAGGCUUUGACGGGUAGCCGGCAUGAGAGGGUGACCGGCCACAAUGGGACUGAGAUACGGCCCAGACUCGUACGGGGGGCAGCGGUGGGGAAUAUUACACAAUGGGCGGAAGCCUGAUGCAGCAGCCCCGCGUGCGUGAUGACGGCCUUCGGGUUGUAAACCGCUUUCGCCUGUGACGAAGCGUGAGUGACGGUAAUGAGUAAAGAAGCACCGGCUAACUACGUG
This 468-nucleotide ribosomal RNA is filed under the name uncultured bacterium. RNAcentral's name for it is "partial 16S ribosomal RNA". It matches the Rfam family "Bacterial small subunit ribosomal RNA", at positions 28 to 507 of the family's 1533-position model. The record is from RNAcentral.